CGAUUGGUUGUGGUUUGUUUGAGGUCAGACGCUGCAAGAUUAAACCAACUCUGAACAUUCGAUGAUACUUCACAAACUCUCUAUCAACACUGCUACCAUGUUGUCCUCAUGAGAAAAAAGAAGCAGAAGUAGUUGAAGAGAAAAUCUAUAUUUUUUUAAGAGUACAAACAUGCAGUAAAUUCACCAACAAAACAGACUCAAAAAGAAGAUUAUAACUAUUCAUUUUCAGUUUCAGGAGUCUGAUCAUUCAGUUGUAUUUAGCAGGUAGAGUGCAGUUGUUUCCCUGCUCACGGAGGGUUUUACGGCAGCACUAAUGGCUCCGGUGAAGAAAGACAGCAGGCAGAGAUGGAUGCGACACUGUAACAUGAGCCAGCUCUCAUCCCAAGCUAAUGUGAAUGAACGUUGGGCUUCUUAACGGAAAGGCCUUGUGCAGCGCUGCCAGAUACGUAUUUAGGGAUUGUUAAACCAUUGUUAGCGGCGGACUCGGGCAGACAGGUGUUUAAAUUGCUCUCCAAAGACAAUCUGUGCAAGGUGUCACUUUGAACCCCGUCAUGCUUUGUGUACAAAUUCCCUCAAAGCUCCUCAGUCACCCCUCAACAAUCCAGAAGCCCCAAUCCCCUUCCCGGGGCCCCACCCCUCACCCCACUCCCCCCUGGCCAAUCAACACAUCCCAGAGCCCCGUAACAGAUGGCUGCAGGGGUCAGCAGGGGUUAGCUGGGGCAGGGAGGGGGGUUGGCUAAGGUUAGGCCGGGGCACAGGGGUGUUUGAGAUUGUUGUGACAUGGCCUGUCUGCCUGUCAGUGUGCAGGUGGAUGAGGAGCAUGUGGCCUCAAAUCCCCAACCCCC
This is a non-coding RNA of Xyrichtys novacula (pearly razorfish), 845 nucleotides long. NCBI's taxonomy places the organism in Eukaryota, Metazoa, Chordata, Actinopteri, Labriformes, Labridae. The record is from the annotation of a GenBank genome assembly.